Molecule: non-coding RNA, 54 nt
Organism: Salmo salar (Atlantic salmon)
Lineage: Eukaryota; Metazoa; Chordata; Actinopteri; Salmoniformes; Salmonidae
Source: Rfam
AAUGCACCAAUUUGUAAGUCGCUCUGGAUAAGAGCAUCUGCUAAAUGACUAAAU